AUGUUUAUCUUCCCUUUUGUUUAUUGUACCCACGUGGCAUUUCUAAUCAAGUGCAGAGCCCUCUCCAGCUGGCGGGCAGCCUGGGCUGGUCUCACAGAACACAUACAAACCACUUUCUGGCACCAAUUUCCCUCAGCUGGGAGCUGUGCCAUCCCUGCUCAGCUGCAGGGGACGGGGCUUUGCCCUUGGAUUAACCUGGGGAUGGCUCCUCUGCCCUUUCCUGUCCCUUCCUGCAGCUUUUGUGGUUCUCUGCCCUGCUGUGAGAAACACCUGCUUGGGUUUCUUGGCCUUCAUCAAGCUGGAGAGCAGACAGGAGAAAUCAAUCCCCAGGCAGAAAAGCAGAGGCUGAAGGGCAGCUCAGAACCACAACUCCCAGUGCUGCGUGUGCCGGACCCCAGCGUGGGCACUGGUCCCAUUAGCAGCCAGAGCAGCCGUGUGAGAUGGGUCCUCCCUGCGCUCACACCGCCGGGUGAAAGCUGGAGCUGGGGCUCUGGAGGAUGCAUGGAGAGAGGAGUGCCAGGGAGCCGGCAGUGCACAGCAGAGCGGUGCCUUCCUUCUCCAAAGGGCCACUCCAUCCCACAGCACUAUUUCUGUCCUCUCCCAUCUAUAGCAAGCUGCUGGGUCUGAAGGCACAGAGCACUGCCUGUGCGCCUCAGGAGGAGCAUUGCAGAACGCUUUCACAUCUGCUCCAGACAGAGGACGUUGCAGCAGCCCCGUCUGAAGGCAGAAUUGAGGUCCCGGGUCACUCCCAGCUCAGUGACAGCAGUGUUGGCUGCGGUGAUGGCAGUGGUGCUGUGCAGCUGCAGCUCCCCCCGCUGCCUGCACCAGCCCUCCCCAUCCUCCUCUUUUCAUUCCGUUCCAGCCCGAUUAGAGGAGGUUGCACCCGGAGGCAGCUCGCCAGGCGUUUAUGCAUGCAGCUGCCUGAGCUGAAUGCACGCAUGUUAAUGUGUGGAAAUGAGUCGGGGCCACUUUUGUACCAAGUUUUCUGCUCCCUGGAUCGAGCACACCGGGUCUUCUGAAGCAAAAAAGAAUUCAGGAGAGGACCUUUGUGCUUACUGCUCACCCUGUCUCUUAACAUUGCCCAGAUACCAGUGCUGCUGUUGGGCAGAUAGCAGAGCUUCUCACAGAAGCAGCACCAUGCAUUGUUGUGCACACCCCUCUAUUUCCCUUUGCUCAGCUGCUGCUGCUCCACGACUUCUCAAGCUUGUGGGGAAAGCCAUCACCCCCCAACCCUGCAGCCAGAAUGACCACUGCCACCCAGAUGAGCAGCCAGCAUGCAGCUCAGAGCAGUGCAGAAGCCAACUGCUGCCAGGCCCUGGCUGGGGCUGCUGCUCCUGUGCCAUGCGCUGCUGCUGAGCAGCUGCUCUGCCCCUGCUGUCCACGCUUCGGUCUCCUGGGACCAACCUGUCAUUGCUGCAGCAUGUCAAAGGUAUGCUUCCCUAUAUCUCUACCAGAGGGGAUUAUGUUCCCAGCGGGGGCUCGGGUUCUUUUUUUUUUUGCCAUCGUAUGAUUUAAUGUGACAACUGUAAUUUGAUGUGACGCGUCUUUGCAACAAUUCGCUACCUCGGAAAAUCACAAACAAGCUUAAAAUAAGAACAGAACGCAUGGACUCACAUCUCCCCGUGUG
This is a long non-coding RNA of Phasianus colchicus (ring-necked pheasant), 1627 nucleotides long. The record is from Ensembl. Lineage: Eukaryota; Metazoa; Chordata; Aves; Galliformes; Phasianidae.